Firmicutes bacterium CAG:194 is the source of this 157-nucleotide regulatory RNA element. The record is from Rfam. Lineage: Bacteria; Bacillati; Bacillota.
UAGCUGCAAAUGCGUCUUUCUACUUGGCAAAGUACUGACAAAUGUAUGUGGUGCCACGACACGGAUGUCGUGGCAGCGAACUUGAGACAAGGAUGUCGAAUGUUCGCGUGCCACAUGCAUGUCAGUACGUGCCUUAGUAGAAAAGCAUAUGCAGCGU